UAUUUUUCUGUUUCCUGUUUUGCAGCUCGUAUUCUUUCAGUAAAUACUGGAAUAUUCCCAUCAGUCUACAAGUGAAGACGAGCAUCAGACCAUCAGGAAGAAGAGAAAUCUGCAAAGACAGAGUUUAUUGAAGGACAGUGAGAAGAUGAGUGAUCCAGAACCCUGCAGAAUUAAACAGGAGGAGACUGAAGAACUAAUCGAUGUGAUGGUGAAGGAGGAGAAUGAAGAUGAGGAGGAACAUCACGUCAAAAGUGAAACUGAAACUCACACAGAUACUGAACACAGUCUUUUAACUAAAACAACAGACAUAGAAGGUUUGACCUGCACUGAGUGUGGAAAGAGUUUCAUCAGCAAAACCGCUCUUAAGCAUCACAGGAGGGUCCACACUAGAGGGAAACCGCACAAGUGUUCGCACUGCGACAAGAGAUUUAGCCGGCCAGCAUAUCUGAAUACCCACAUGAGGAUCCACACUGGAGAGAAACCUUACGAGUGUUCACACUGCGGCAAGAGAUUCAAUGAAUCGGGAAACCUGAAAAAACACGAGAGGACUCACACCGGAGAGAAAUCGCAUCACUGCACUGCUUGUGGGAAGAGUUUCAAAAGUUUAUGUUUUCUGCAAUAUCACACAAAGCUCCAUCACAGUGGGAUGGUGGAGGAGGAGAAUGAAGAACUGAGUGAAGAUGAGGAGGAACAUCAUGUCAAAAGUGAAAAUGAAGCAAAUACUGAAGAUACUUUAUUACCGAAAACAACAGGCAAGAAAUGUUUGAUCUGCACUGAGUGUGGAACGAGUUUCAUCACCCAAAACGAUCUCAAGAGUCACAUGAAGAUCCACACUGGAGGGAAACCGCACAAGUGUUCGCACUGCGACAAGAGAUUUAGCCGAUUAGCAUAUCUGAUUACACACGAGAGGAUCCACACUGGAGAGAAACCCUACGAGUGUUCACACUGCGGCAAGAGAUUCAAUGAGUCAGGAAACCUGAAAAGACAUGAGAGGACCCACACUGAAGAGAGACUGCAUCACUGCAACACUUGUGGGAAGACUUUCACAAGUUUAUAUUCUCUGCAAUAUCACACAAAGCUUUAUCACAAUGCGAUGGCGGAGGAAGAGAAUGAAGAGCUGAGUGAAGAUGAGGAGGAACAUCAUGUCAAAAGUGAAACUGAAACUCUCACAAAUACUGAAGAUACUUUAUUAACCAAAACAACCGGCAAGAGUUGUUUGAUCUGCACUGAGUGUGGAAUGAGUUUCAUCACCAAAAAUGAUUUCAAGAGUCACAUGAAGAUCCACACUGCAGGGAAACCGCACAAGUGCCCACACUGCGACAAAAGAUUUAGCCGAUUAGCAUAUCUGAUUACACACGAGAGGAUCCACACUGGAGAGAAACCUUACGAGUGUUCACACUGCGGCAAGAGAUUCAGUGAGUCAGGAAACCUGAAAAGACAUGAGAGUACUCACGCUGGAGCGAAACCUUACAAGUGUUCAUACUGCGACAAAAGAUUCAAUAACACACAUCCCCUAAAAAUACACGAGAGAAUUCACAAUGCAGAGAAACCGUAUCAGUGCACUGUUUGUGGAAAGAGCUUCUCAAGGUUAUCUUCUCUGCGAUAUCACACAAAGCUUUACUACAGAAAGAACGCACAGUCUACAGCAGUGGUUCCCAACCAUUGUUAACUCCUGGCCCGCUAAACCAAACACUUGUUUCUGGGUCCUAAUGUGAAUCCAAAUUACCCCAUUAUUUGUGUCGAGUUGAUAACUUACUUAGACAAAAGACUGUUACUGUCUAUAUUGAAUAUACUGACAAUGAUUUGAAUGGAUAAAACAAACAUAUUAGACCACAAAGAAACAGGAUGCAGAAAGCACUGCGCUAUACAUAACCCAUUUAUUUUAAUAAACUAUGAAAUAUUACUUUUCUUUUGCUGUCAACCAGUGCAAGAUUUUUCUGACAUAAGAAGUUGCAGUGACGAGUUAUUAAAGGAUUAGCUCACAUUUUUAAAUUCUGUUAUUAAAUGCUCACCUUUGCGUUAUUCCAGUCCACUAAGAUCUUUAUUCCGCUUAAUAUUAAAGCUCAAGCUUAUCAAUCUUGUUGGAAUAUCAAGCCCAUUCCAUGCGUGUUCAAUAAGAAAAGGUCAGGAGAGGGUUUUCUUCAAUGCCAAAAGUAUUAGUAAUUUAUUAGAUACAAAUGAAUAAUUUGAGGACAGAGCUCUGGGUUACGUUACCCC
Non-coding RNA from Danio rerio (zebrafish), 2217 nucleotides. NCBI's taxonomy places the organism in Eukaryota, Metazoa, Chordata, Actinopteri, Cypriniformes, Danionidae. The record is from Ensembl.